AAAUGAAUUGACGGGGACCCGCACAAGCAGUGGAGUAUGUGGUUUAAUUCGAAGCAACGCGAAGAACCUUACCAGGUCUUGACAUCCCCCUGACCGGUACAGAGAUGUACCUUUCCUUCGGGACAGGGGAGACAGGUGGUGCAUGGUUGUCGUCAGCUCGUGUCGUGAGAUGUUGGGUUAAGUCCCGCAACGAGCGCAACCCUUGACUUUAGUUGCCAGCAGGUAAGGCUGGGCACUCUAGAGUGACUGCCGGUGACAAACCGGAGGAAGGUGGGGAUGACGUCAAAUCAUCAUGCCCCUUAUGACCUGGGCUACACACGUACUACAAUGGCCGGUACAACGGGAAGCGAAGGAGCGAUCUGGAGCGAAUCCUUUAAAGCCGGUCUCAGUUCGGAUUGCAGGCUGCAACUCGCCUGCAUGAAGUCGGAAUUGCUAGUAAUCGCGGAUCAGCAUGCCGCGGUGAAUACGUUCCCGGGUCUUGUACACACCGCCCGU
Molecule: ribosomal RNA, 495 nt
Filed under: uncultured bacterium
Lineage: Bacteria
Description: bacterial SSU rRNA
Rfam family: Bacterial small subunit ribosomal RNA
Source: RNAcentral